Molecule: ribosomal RNA, 197 nt
Filed under: uncultured Geobacter sp.
Lineage: Bacteria; Pseudomonadati; Thermodesulfobacteriota; Desulfuromonadia; Geobacterales; Geobacteraceae
Description: partial 16S ribosomal RNA
Rfam family: Bacterial small subunit ribosomal RNA
Source: RNAcentral
AACGCGAAGAACCUUACCUGGGCUUGACGUCUGGGGAACCUCCUGGAAACAGGAGGGUGCCUUCGGGAACCCCAAGACAGGUGCUGCAUGGCUGUCGUCAGCUUGUGUCGUGAGGUGUUGGGUUAAGUCCCGCAACGAGCGCAACCCCUGUCACUAGUUGCCAUCAGUUCGGCUGGGCACUCUAGUGAGACUGCCGG